UGAGGAAUUUUGCGCAAUGGGAGCAAUCCUGACGCAGCAACGCCGCGUGGGUGAUGAAGGCCUUCGGGUCGUAAAGCCCUGUCAGGUGGGAAGAAUGUCCCGAGACUGAACAGGUUCCGGGAGUGACGGUACCACCAGAGGAAGCACCGGCUAACUCCGUGCCAGCAGCCGCGGUAAGACGGAGGGUGCGAGCGUUAUUCGGAAUUACUGGGCGUAAAGCGCGUGUAGGCGGUCCCGCAAGUCGGAUGUGAAAGCCCCGGGCUUAACCCGGGAAGUGCAUUGGAAACUGUGGGACUUGAGUACUGGAGAGGAUGGGGGAAUUCCCGGUGUAGAGGUGAAAUUCGUAGAGAUCGGGAGGAAUAUCAGUGGCGAAGGCGCCCAUCUGGACGGUAACUGACGCUGAGACGCGAAAGCGUGGGGAGCAAACA
Molecule: ribosomal RNA, 428 nt
Filed under: uncultured prokaryote
Description: bacterial SSU rRNA
Rfam family: Bacterial small subunit ribosomal RNA
Source: RNAcentral